Molecule: small nucleolar RNA, 107 nt
Organism: Dioscorea cayenensis subsp. rotundata (Guinea yam)
Lineage: Eukaryota; Viridiplantae; Streptophyta; Magnoliopsida; Dioscoreales; Dioscoreaceae
Source: RefSeq, a predicted model, not a curated record
AAUCCAUAUUGUGGACACUUUCGCAAAAGGUCUUUGAAAUAUUCCCAUGUCUCAAACAGGGAUUCGAGCUCCAUCUAAACAAAAGAUGAAAUCUCAUUGUGAAGCUU